AUUAUUCUAGAGUUUGAUCAUGGCUCAGAUUGAACGCUGGCGGCAGGCCUAACACAUGCAAGUCGAACGGUAGCACAGAGAGCUUGCUUUCGGGUGACGAGUGGCGGACGGGUGAGUAAUGUCUGGGAAACUGCCUGAUGGAGGGGGAUAACUACUGGAAACGGUAGCUAAUACCGCAUAAUGUCGCAAGACCAAAGAGGGGGACCUUCGGGCCUCUUGCCAUCAGAUGUGCCCAGAUGGGAUUAGCUAGUAGGUGGGGUAACGGCUCACCUAGGCGACGAUCCCUAGCUGGUCUGAGAGGAUGACCAGCCACACUGGAACUGAGACACGGUCCAGACUCCUACGGGAGGCAGCAGUGGGGAAUAUUGCACAAUGGGCGCAAGCCUGAUGCAGCCAUGCCGCGUGUAUGAAGAAGGCCUUCGGGUUGUAAAGUACUUUCAGCGGGGAGGAAGGUGUUGUGGUUAAUAACCACAGCAAUUGACGUUACCCGCAGAAGAAGCACCGGCUAACUCCGUGCCAGCAGCCGCGGUAAUACGGAGGGUGCAAGCGUUAAUCGGAAUUACUGGGCGUAAAGCGCACGCAGGCGGUCUGUCAAGUCGGAUGUGAAAUCCCCGGGCUCAACCUGGGAACUGCAUUCGAAACUGGCAGGCUGGAGUCUUGUAGAGGGGGGUAGAAUUCCAGGUGUAGCGGUGAAAUGCGUAAAGAUCUGGAGGAAUACCGGUGGCGAAGGCGGCCCCCUGGACAAAGACUGACGCUC
This 757-nucleotide ribosomal RNA is filed under the name uncultured Enterobacter sp. RNAcentral describes it as "bacterial SSU rRNA". It matches the Rfam family "Bacterial small subunit ribosomal RNA", at positions 1 to 748 of the family's 1533-position model. Lineage: Bacteria; Pseudomonadati; Pseudomonadota; Gammaproteobacteria; Enterobacterales; Enterobacteriaceae. The record is from RNAcentral.